CAGGACUUUUCCCACCUGGCCUGGAAGUGACUCAGCAUCUCUGCUGCCGUCUGUCUGCCUGUCUGUCCAAGACUUCUGGUCGACCAGAGUCCCUGGGCAUGUGGGAUCAUAGUUCUGCAACCAUGGAUCAAACCUGCAACCUCUUCAACCACCGCUAACCACCGGACGACCAGAGAAUGCCCUUGACUGGUGGCUUUAAGUCACUGUUUCGCUGAGCAGCAGAAGGCUCUUUCUCCCUUGGAGCAGUGCUCAAAGGCUGGUGGAAAACACAUUUGUCACAAAAACAACACUCUGCUCUCAGAGAAGAUCCCACCUCCUCCAGUGUCCCAAUGAGGAGCAAACAACUUAGAUGGGCUCUAGGUCUUUCAUAACCGG
Molecule: long non-coding RNA, 375 nt
Organism: Budorcas taxicolor (takin)
Lineage: Eukaryota; Metazoa; Chordata; Mammalia; Artiodactyla; Bovidae
Exons: 3
Source: RefSeq, a predicted model, not a curated record